This 197-nucleotide ribosomal RNA is filed under the name uncultured Simplicispira sp. Its description in RNAcentral is "partial 16S ribosomal RNA". It matches the Rfam family "Bacterial small subunit ribosomal RNA", at positions 335 to 524 of the family's 1533-position model. The record is from RNAcentral. Lineage: Bacteria; Pseudomonadati; Pseudomonadota; Betaproteobacteria; Burkholderiales; Comamonadaceae.
ACUCCUACGGGAGGCAGCAGUGGGGAAUUUUGGACAAUGGGGGAAACCCUGAUCCAGCCAUGCCGCGUGCAGGAUGAAGGCCUUCGGGUUGUAAACUGCUUUUGUACGGAACGAAAAGGUCCUUUCUAAUAAAGAGGGCUCAUGACGGUACCGUAAGAAUAAGCACCGGCUAACUACGUGCCAGCAGCCGCGGUAAU